GAUGAGAUGGCCGAGAGGUAAAGGUGAUGGACUAGAAAUCCAUUGUUCGAAUCCCUCCCUCUUCG
Non-coding RNA from Podarcis lilfordi (Lilford's wall lizard), 65 nucleotides. Lineage: Eukaryota; Metazoa; Chordata; Lepidosauria; Squamata; Lacertidae. The record is from the annotation of a GenBank genome assembly.